GACAGCAUGGCCAGUGGUUAAGGCGACAGUUUUGAAAGCUGUUUCACUAUGUGAGCGUGAGUUCAAACCUCACUGCUGUCG
RNAcentral lists this transfer RNA (81 nucleotides) under Melampsora larici-populina 98AG31. Its description in RNAcentral is "tRNA-Ser (TGA) (tRNA-Ser-TGA-3-1)". It matches the Rfam family "tRNA". From Rfam's summary of the family: Transfer RNA (tRNA) molecules are approximately 80 nucleotides in length. Their secondary structure includes four short double-helical elements and three loops (D, anti-codon, and T loops). Lineage: Eukaryota; Fungi; Basidiomycota; Pucciniomycetes; Pucciniales; Melampsoraceae. The record is from RNAcentral.